Molecule: ribosomal RNA, 252 nt
Filed under: uncultured bacterium
Lineage: Bacteria
Description: partial 16S ribosomal RNA
Rfam family: Bacterial small subunit ribosomal RNA
Source: RNAcentral
UACAGAGGGUGCAAGCGUUAAUCGGAUUUACUGGGCGUAAAGGGCGCGUAGGUGGUAAAGCAAGUAAGAUGUGAAAGCCCUGGGCUUAACCUGGGAAGUGCAUCUUAAACUGCUUAACUAGAGUAUGGUAGAGGGUAGUGGAAUUUCCGGUGUAGCGGUGAAAUGCGUAGAGAUCGGAAGGAACGCCAGUGGUGAAGACGCUACCUGGACCAAUACUGACACUGAGGCGCGAAAGCGUGGGGAUCAAACAGG